Molecule: ribosomal RNA, 356 nt
Filed under: Staphylococcus aureus
Lineage: Bacteria; Bacillati; Bacillota; Bacilli; Caryophanales; Staphylococcaceae
Description: bacterial SSU rRNA
Rfam family: Bacterial small subunit ribosomal RNA
Source: RNAcentral
AAGGUAACGGCUUACCAAGGCAACGAUGCAUAGCCGACCUGAGAGGGUGAUCGGCCACACUGGAACUGAGACACGGUCCAGACUCCUACGGGAGGCAGCAGUAGGGAAUCUUCCGCAAUGGGCGAAAGCCUGACGGAGCAACGCCGCGUGAGUGAUGAAGGUCUUCGGAUCGUAAAACUCUGUUAUUAGGGAAGAACAUAUGUGUAAGUAACUGUGCACAUCUUGACGGUACCUAAUCAGAAAGCCACGGCUAACUACGUGCCAGCAGCCGCGGUAAUACGUAGGUGGCAAGCGUUAUCCGGAAUUAUUGGGCGUAAAGCGCGCGUAGGCGGUUUUUUAAGUCUGAUGUGAAAGCC